Molecule: long non-coding RNA, 269 nt
Filed under: Heterocephalus glaber (naked mole-rat)
Lineage: Eukaryota; Metazoa; Chordata; Mammalia; Rodentia; Bathyergidae
Description: lncRNA (ENSHGLG00100046073.1)
Source: RNAcentral
GCUCUGCUGGGCAGAGGAAGCAGGAAUUCACCGGUGCCUCUUCCCCUUCUGGUGCUGGGCUGGGGACCACCGACCCUGUGGGCCUCGUGGCCAGGUGGGCGUCUGUCCUGGAGAGGCGGAUCCUGGGCCCAGGAGUCCCCUACCACUAUUCAUCUGGCCAAGACUGGAAGAGCAGCCGUGCAGGGGCUCAGGCUCUCAUGCCCCAGGACACUGAGUCAUGAGGACGCUCCCGAGUCCUGGCCAUACCAGACUAACCAAGUCACAGUGAG